UGGUGGUAGCUCAGCAUU
Molecule: unclassified non-coding RNA, 18 nt
Filed under: Mus musculus (house mouse)
Lineage: Eukaryota; Metazoa; Chordata; Mammalia; Rodentia; Muridae
Description: oocyte_clustered_small_RNA8012
Source: RNAcentral